GAUGAACGCUAGCUACAGGCUUAACACAUGCAAGUCGAGGGGUAACGAGAGGAAAGCUUGCUUUCCUUGUCGACGACCGGCGCACGGGUGAGUAACGCGUAUCCAACCUGCCCCCAACUAGGGAAUAACCUUGCGAAAGUAAGACUAAUACCCUAUAAUUUCCUCAGAUGCCAUCUGACGAGGAAUAAAGAUUUAUCGGUUGUGUGUGGGGAUGCGUCUGAUUAGCUUGUUGGCGGGGUAACGGCCCACCAAGGCAACGAUCAGUAGGGGUUCUGAGAGGAAGGUCCCCCACAUUGGAACUGAGACAUGGUCCAAACUCCUACGGGAGGCAGCAGUGAGGAAUAUUGGUCAAUGGGCGGAAGCCUGAACCAGCCAAGUAGCGUGCAGGAUGACGGCCCUAUGGGUUGUAAACUGCUUUUAUACAGGAAUAAAGUUAGCCACGUGUGGUUAUUUGUAGGUACUGUAUGAAUAAGGACCGGCUAAUUCCGUGCCAGCCGCCGCAGUAA
RNAcentral lists this ribosomal RNA (506 nucleotides) under uncultured bacterium. RNAcentral's name for it is "partial 16S ribosomal RNA". It matches the Rfam family "Bacterial small subunit ribosomal RNA", at positions 28 to 523 of the family's 1533-position model. The record is from RNAcentral.